This 28-nucleotide non-coding RNA is filed under the name Homo sapiens (human). The record is from RNAcentral. Lineage: Eukaryota; Metazoa; Chordata; Mammalia; Primates; Hominidae.
AAGGAUGAGAGGUGUUUCCACUGAGGAU